GACGAACGCUGGCGGCGUGCUUAACACAUGCAAGUCGAACGGAAAGGCCCUGCUUUUGUGGGGUGCUCGAGUGGCGAACGGGUGAGUAACACGUGAGUAACCUGCCCUUGACUUUGGGAUAACUUCAGGAAACUGGGGCUCAUACCGGAUAGGAGCUCCUGAUGCAUGGUGGGGGUUGGAAAGUUUCGGCGGUUGGGGAUGGACUCGCGGCUUAUCAGCUUGUUGGUGGGGUAGGGGCUUACCAAGGCUUUGACGGGUAGCCGGCCUGAGAGGGUGGCCGGCCACAUGGGGACUGCGAUACGGCCCAGACUCCUACGGGAGGCAGCAGUGGGGAAUAUUGCACAACGGGCGGAAGCCUGAUGCAGCAACGCCGCGUGCGGGAUGACGUCCUUCGGGUUGUAAACCGCUUUCGCCUGUGACGAAGCGUGAGUGACGGUAAUGGGUAAAGAAGCACCGGCUAACUACGUG
This 468-nucleotide ribosomal RNA is filed under the name uncultured bacterium. RNAcentral describes it as "partial 16S ribosomal RNA". It matches the Rfam family "Bacterial small subunit ribosomal RNA", at positions 28 to 507 of the family's 1533-position model. The record is from RNAcentral.